RNAcentral lists this unclassified non-coding RNA (158 nucleotides) under Albimonas pacifica. RNAcentral describes it as "6S / SsrS RNA". Lineage: Bacteria; Pseudomonadati; Pseudomonadota; Alphaproteobacteria; Rhodobacterales; Paracoccaceae. The record is from RNAcentral.
CGGGUGCUGUCCCUCACGUCACGGGCCCAAAUCCUGGUGGCCUAUUCAUUCUCGCGGGAGCUGGCUCUGUUUCGGGUCGUGGCCUGAAGCACCCGGCGCCCACCUGGUAUUCCAGGCUCGCGAGGAUUGGAUGCCUGGACGGUCGCGACGGGCCCGCC